AUACAGUUGGUCACUGUUCCAUACUGGGAGCCACUUCAAGGAUGCAGCCUUGAGAGUAAUACCUUAUUACGACCAUUUGAACUGUGUAUGUGAUUGAACUCCGUUAAGGCCUCUAUAUAAACUUUUAAGAUUCUAGCAGUCGAGUGGGUGGUAAGUUCCUUUCCUCAUUAAACCUGCCACCCACCAAUCUGGAGUGGCCUACCUCUCUUUUCCCGUCUCUCCUUGCCCUAAGUGCACUGGGCCAGUUUCAAAUUUCACCUGGGGGAACUCCAGAGGUUGUGAACAAACAGAAAUAUAAAGAAAGAUCACCAUGGAUAAAGCAUGCUUGGUGGUUUUGGAAUUUAGAGGAAGUAAUGUUAUUGUUUACAACAGUGUUACUCUUCAUUAUGAGAUUUUUUUGAUCAUUAUAGUACUCUGUAAAGUUGCAAGUAAUCGCUAACAAACUCCCUCACUAAGAGAAAUUUAUAUUAAUUAAAAAAAUCUUACAAUAAAUACGCCAAAAUUAAACAAACGAGACGAAUUUAUAUAGUCUGAACACUUUUUAGUUGCCUGUAGAAUUUGGAUCAAGUUCAAUAGACACAGGUAAAUAAACUAGAAGAAAUUGCUUGAAUAAGGUAGAUAGCAUCACUUAGCAGCUGAUUCUUGUUCCGACAAAAUUUAGAGAGUAAGACAACUUUCAAGUAAAAUGGACUUGAUUUUCUUGUUCCCCAAGAGAAAAGAAUCAAGCUACUUAGGUAGGUGGAGUGAGGACUAGAACCCAAGCCUUCUGCCUCCCAGCUGAUAGUUCUCUGAUUUUCCACAGUCCUCGAGCAUUUACACACCAGCUCCAGGCGCUACCUAAGCCAGGUGCUCUCACUUUUCCAGCCCGGAUCUUCACUCACUCCUAAGAUCCUUUAACGAGUGUUCUGAGAGCUGUGCAGUCCUUCGAUUCAUUCAAAGCAUUCUACAGCGAACACUAGGGGGGAAAAGAACAAACAAGAUAAAUUUCAAAUAUAGGAUUCAAUUACUUUUCACAACUCGAUGAUGUGUCAAAGGCACGCUGUGUUUUGUUUUGAGGGCGGGGAGAUGACUGGGAGGGAAUCCUGGGCCCCCAUUGGCUGGCCGCUCUCCGCUGCAGUUGAGCUCCAGCCGCUCGGAGAGGAUUAUUGAUCUGAAGGGUAAACGUGGAGGGAGCCACAGAGAGGGGUCCAAGCGUUUCUGAGAAGAGAGGCAGCCUCUUCCAGGAAGAAAGUGGUGUCUGCUGGCUGCCCAGCUUGGAGAACCUUCUAUGAAUAAACGGGGACAGAAUGCAAGGCAGUUUGUUGCUACAGUGAUUUAGAAGGAAAACAAGAAGGAGAGAAAGAGAAAGGUCUCACCUUCCGUGCGAGCCGGGGUUGUAGCAUCCUGCUGCCGCCGUCUCUGCUUCUGCUCCUGCAGCUGCCGUGUCUGCCACCAGGUACCCCCGGGACCCAGUCCUCUGAUGUACUGAAAUAUUGCAACUAAAGUCUGUGGAGAUCAAAACCAGGAGAAACCUGACCGUGGCCGGUUCUAAACAGAAGAUCAGCCCUGAGCUAACAUCUGCCACCAAUCCUCCUCUUUUUGCUGAGGAAGACUGGCCCUGAGCUAACAUCUGUGCCCAUCUUCCUGCCACAGCAUGGCUUGCGAAGCAGAGCAUAGGUCCGCACCUGGGAUCUGAACCGGCGAAUCCUGGGCCGCAGAAGCGGAACGUGCAAACUUAACCUCUGUGCUGGCCCCAAAACAAUUAUAAUUUAUAAGUAGCAAAUAUUUACCAGUGAUAUAUUCAGCAAAUUACCUAUCAGAUUGUAGACCUCAGAGGAGGAAGUAAAUAGAGAAGUAAGAAGACUGAAUUUUGGGGAAUUAUCCAAAGAAGACAGGACUAGAUUGAACAUUAUAAAGUGAAACUGAGGAUAACCUGGGGGAUUUUUUGAGGGAGGGGAUAAGAAUAGUAUAUAAGUGUAAAGUGAGAACCAAAAUAGGUGAGAGUAGGAGGAUAGAAAAAGUCUAUUUUUUAUAGGUUUGCCAAAAUCUUCCUGAAUAAAACAAAGCUGGUAAGAAAAUGUUCACUUUUCAACGAGAGAUAAGACUGAAAUAACAAUAUGCACAUGACUGUGUUAUGACAUUUAUUCCUCAAAAGCAGCCCUAUGAGCCAGGACUAUUAUUAUUUGCAUUUUAUACCUAAGAGAACCAAGACCCACAUUUUCUAAAAAUCACAAUAAGGGUCUCAAAAUUCCAAACCAGAUACAUUCAUUUCUAAUUAGAAAUUAUAUUUCAGUAAAAGCUUGGGAAUUAAAAGUUAAAUGAGAUAAAAUAGUAAAAUCCUCUAAUGUUUAAGGCAAAGGGAAUUUUCUUGAUUGUUAAGUGUCACUGAGAAUCUUUUAUUUCUACACAGAUGAAAAUUCCUUCUCAAAAUUUUCUCCAGUGACUAUUUUUCUUAUUCUUGUUUCUUGUUCUGUGUUUAGGAAUAUAUUCCAAGUAAAAGGUAUGUCAUUUCUUAACUUUACUUGUGCGGUCUUUAUUAGACCUGGAAGCCAAUUAAUAAUAGAACAAAUGUUUCCUGCCUGGUGAA
This 2566-nucleotide long non-coding RNA is filed under the name Equus asinus (donkey). RNAcentral describes it as "lncRNA (ENSEASG00005036362.1)". The record is from RNAcentral. Lineage: Eukaryota; Metazoa; Chordata; Mammalia; Perissodactyla; Equidae.